AUUGAACGCUGGCGGCAUGCCUUACACAUGCAAGUCGAACGGCAGCACGGGAGCAAUCCUGGUGGCGAGUGGCGAACGGGUGAGUAAUAUAUCGGAACGUGCCCAGUCGUGGGGGAUAACGUAGCGAAAGCUACGCUAAUACCGCAUACGAUCUAUGGAUGAAAGCGGGGGAUCGCAAGACCUCGCGCGAUUGGAGCGGCCGAUAUCAGAUUAGGUAGUUGGUGGGGUAAAGGCUCACCAAGCCGACGAUCUGUAGCUGGUCUGAGAGGACGACCAGCCACACUGGGACUGAGACACGGCCCAGACUCCUACGGGAGGCAGCAGUGGGGAAUUUUGGACAAUGGGCGCAAGCCUGAUCCAGCAAUGCCGCGUGCAGGAUGAAGGCUUUCGGGUUGUAAACUGCUUUUGUACGGAGCGAAAAGGCUCUCUCUAAUACAGGGGGCUCAUGACGGUACAGUAAGAAUAAGCACCGGCUAACUACGUGCCAGCCGCCGCAGUAA
Molecule: ribosomal RNA, 500 nt
Filed under: uncultured bacterium
Lineage: Bacteria
Description: partial 16S ribosomal RNA
Rfam family: Bacterial small subunit ribosomal RNA
Source: RNAcentral